CGUUUUAGAAACAUUCAGGGGCCAACAGUUUCAGGAUUGUUGAGCUCCAUUGGCGGGAUUUCGCCGUCUUCGUUUCUCUUUCUUCGCGGACGAACACGCGCCAGGGGCUGAGCGCUGUGCGAUGCAUCGACGUCACGUCAGGUGCGCGCCGGCAUGUCUCUCGUGUUAGGGGCUUGUAGCUCAGUUGGUUAGAGCGCGCGCUUGAUAAGCGUGAGGUCGGAAGUUCAAGUCUUCCCAGGCCCACCACGCUUCGCCGUCGGCUACGCGUGGCGCAGCCACGUAGGAGACGAAGCGAAGCGUGCCCGGCAUAGCCCGAAGGGCGACGACGGGCGCAACGAGAGCAUUCGUCUUCUGGUACGGGGCCAUAGCUCAGCUGGGAGAGCGCGUGCUUUGCAAGCAUGAGGUCGUCGGUUCGAUCCCGUCUGGCUCCACCAGAUGGAAUUGAAGCUCGAGAAUGCGCCUUGUGCAGCUAGCUCUGUUCAUUUCGUCCGCGAAACAUCACUUCGCACUCAUUGGUCCGGAUGGACGGUGACGUGCGUGUUUUCUGACAUCGUAAAGAGGAGAUCGAUCCGAGUUUGGAUCCAGCGAAGCAAUUCGCGGGUACCAUUCCUAAUCUCCAGAUCGUUUUCGGCGCUCGCGCAUCGCAGCUCAUCGCAAGAUGAGUGAGGUGAGCGAGUUGUAAAACGAUCUUUGUAGCGAAGCUUGACCGCCUCGCUAUCGGGCCGAUCUUACGAAGCAAGCUGGUCUUUCUAGUCAAUGUCCGGCUGUGCGAUCGCGUUCAUCGAGGACGCGUGCCUUUAAUGGCAGUUGCGCAGACAACAUUCUGCCGAGUGUGUGGACAUUGAUAAUGAGAGCAAUCAAGUGCCUUAAGGGUGUUCGGUGGAUGCCUUGGCGCUGAGAGGCGAUGAAGGACGUGCUACGCUGCGAUAAGCCGUGGGGAGCUGCG
RNAcentral lists this unclassified non-coding RNA (946 nucleotides) under Bradyrhizobium sp. 46-1-1. RNAcentral describes it as "partial 16S-23S ribosomal RNA intergenic spacer". The stretch from base 170 to 243 matches the Rfam family "tRNA". Lineage: Bacteria; Pseudomonadati; Pseudomonadota; Alphaproteobacteria; Hyphomicrobiales; Nitrobacteraceae. The record is from RNAcentral.